GUUGUGGGCUCAGUGGUAGAGGACUUGUCUAGCACAUGUGAGGCCCUGGGUUCGAUCCUCAGCACCACA
RNAcentral lists this transfer RNA (69 nucleotides) under Marmota monax (woodchuck). RNAcentral describes it as "tRNA.Ala". The record is from RNAcentral. Lineage: Eukaryota; Metazoa; Chordata; Mammalia; Rodentia; Sciuridae.